This 871-nucleotide ribosomal RNA is filed under the name uncultured Podaxis. Its description in RNAcentral is "eukaryotic LSU rRNA". It matches the Rfam family "Eukaryotic large subunit ribosomal RNA", at positions 75 to 933 of the family's 3401-position model. Lineage: Eukaryota; Fungi; Basidiomycota; Agaricomycetes; Agaricales; Agaricaceae. The record is from RNAcentral.
UUCCCCUAGUAACUGCGAGUGAAGCGGGAAAAGCUCAAAUUUAAAAUCUGGCGGUCUCUGGCCGUCCGAGUUGUAAUCUAGAGAAGUGUUACCCGCGCUGGACCGUGUACAAGUCCCCUGGAAUGGGGCGUCAUAGAGGGUGAGAAUCCCGUCUCUGACACGGACUACCAGGGCUUUGUGGUAUGCUCUCAAAGAGUCGAGUUGUUUGGGAAUGCAGCUCAAAAUGGGUGGUAAAUUCCAUCUAAAGCUAAAUAUUGGCGAGAGACCGAUAGCGAACAAGUACCGUGAGGGAAAGAUGAAAAGAACUUUGGAAAGAGAGUUAAACAGUACGUGAAAUUGCUGAAAGGGAAACGCUUGAAGUCAGUCGCGUUGGCCGGGAAUCAGCCUCGCUUUUGUGUGGUGUACUUUCUGGUUGACGGGUCAGCAUCAAUUUUGACUGCUGGAAAAAGGCUUGGGGAAUGUGGCAGCUCCGGCUGUGUUAUAGCCCCUUGUCACAUACAGCGGUUGGGAUUGAGGAACUCAGCACGCCGCAAGGCCGGGUUUCGACCACGUUCGUGCUUAGGAUGCUGGCAUAAUGGCUUUAAGCGACCCGUCUUGAAACACGGACCAAGGAGUCUAACAUGCCUGCGAGUGUUUGGGUGGAAAACCCGAGCGCGUAAUGAAAGUGAAAGUUGAGAUCCCUGUCGUGGGGAGCAUCGACGCCCGGACCAGAACUUUUGGGACGGAUCCGCGGUAGAGCAUGUAUGUUGGGACCCGAAAGAUGGUGAACUAUGCCUGAAUAGGGUGAAGCCAGAGGAAACUCUGGUGGAGGCUCGUAGCGAUUCUGACGUGCAAAUCGAUCGUCAAAUUUGGGUAUAGGGGCGAAAGACUA